Triticum dicoccoides is the source of this 1767-nucleotide RNA transcript. RefSeq lists it as uncharacterized. Lineage: Eukaryota; Viridiplantae; Streptophyta; Magnoliopsida; Poales; Poaceae. The transcript is spliced from 4 exons. The record is from RefSeq and is a predicted model, not a curated record.
UGGAUCGAUCCGAGCCAUCAUAACCUAGCCGCAACCGCAAAAUCCUCCCUUGUCGUUGCCCCCAUCCAUGUCCACCUCGACCCGAUCACCGCUCCCGCCAGCAGACCCCGAGGCAGAGAGAUCGCCGGCCCAGGUUUAUUUCCCCUUCAAUACCAUCCCCUACCUUGCCGCCAUCACCAAAAGUUAAGUUUGACUGAGGACACCCGGUGCCAGCAAUCGCCGGAGAAAGACGGGCACGAGAAGGAGAAGCCGCUGGCCCGCUCCGCAGCGGCGACGCUCCUGCGAACCUCGCGAACCCAGGGAAGAAGAUGUGCCGCUUGGAAUCUGUUCCUUCCAUCCUCUACAGGUCAGUUUCUCUACCCCUUCUGUACAUCCCCUAUUUUUGAUGGAUUCACUUGCUUGAUCUGAUCUCUGUUUUGGGGGAAGAGGAGAUCAGAGGAUGAGCACCAGAUGAUCCGACUACAGAAACUGAGAGAAAUCAGAGGCUUGACAGCCGUGAUUUAUUGCUUCUUAUAUCACGCAGGCGUUAGGGCUCUCCCAAUCUCAUCCUAGAGGAAUAGGACACCUUGCAUGACCGUGAGCACCGCUGCUCAUCGCAGCUUGUCAGAUUAGGCUGGUUCAAGCAGUGUCUUAGGCAUGCUACUAUCCAAGGCGGUCUUCGCGCUUCCACCCUACAUCCACGCUAUCCACCAUGUCUCUCCCUAGAUGUGUGGGGAGGAGCAAGCAGGAGGGAAGGAGGAGCACGCAUGACUCCUCUGUCCUGGCCAUCAACACCAAAAUUUGUUCAUAGUUAUUCAGGUGCACUAUUUAGUUAUAUAUGUUAGGAAAAUCUCCCUCGGUGGAGAUCCUGCAGUACUAUAAUUUUGUAGCUUCCUUGUAAUGUAUAAGAUCACGAUAUACACCACAUUCAGUUGCAAGGACGAUGGCGAUGAAAGUUGACAAGGUACUUGAAAGACUACCUGGAAGGAAGAAAAAGAUGACCGUGAUUUUGAACGUGAAACCAGGAGAAAUGUUCUUGGGAUUCUUGCCAAAUGAGUAAUCCUACUUAAUAUGCUUUUGUUAUUUGGAACCUAUUACAGCGGUCUGUCAUGAGCAUAGGGCAUUGCUGCAUUUUAUCUGGAUGUGUACAAAUUUGUCAUAAUACUACCGUUUAUUUUGCAUCAUUCAUUUAGUCCAGUUUAGUCCUCACAUAUGUUCAUCUUACUGUUCAUUAGAUGGUGUUCGACCUUAAGAGCUGGUGAUUUCUGUACAUGCGCUGAACCAACGAAAGUUGUCAUAGAUUUUGUAGCUUUUACUUGGUAAGAACUAAGAAUAAUGUACACUCGUACUUGCUUAAUUUUUAAAUAGUUAAGUUUGUAAUGUACAUGAACAAGUGCAGCCACACGACUCACUUAAUACUCCUUCCAAUCCAGAAUAAGUGUCAGAUUUGAACUAAGGAUAAACUAACCUUAGUUCAAAAUUGCAACACGUAUUUUGGAUCGGAGGGAGUAGUAUUUAGCGAUGUCUUUGCCUUAUUAUUUAUACUACUAAAUUUUCAUGUAUUAAUGUGAACAGAAAGGCCAUGGUUGCAUAUUGGUUCUAUAUAAGUAUUACUUCCACUGUUUUUUCCCUAUACAAAUAUAUAAGGCUCUACUAACUAUAACUUUCCAUUUGGCUUCACUUUCCUGUUACAAUAAUCUUUUGGCAGAUUGGUGGUCAUAAAAUGCGGGGUUGUAGAUUUAUGAUCCAAUUUAUGAAAUGCUACAAAAAUCUUAGUAGACAUGAAAC